UACGUAGGGGGCAAGCGUUAUCCGGAUUUACUGGGUGUAAAGGGAGCGUAGACGGCAGAGCAAGUCCGGAGUGAAAGCCCGGGGCCCAACCCCGGGACUGCUCUGGAAACUGUUAAGCUGGAGUGCGGGAGGGGCAGGCGGAAUUCCUGGUGUAGCGGUGAAAUGCGUAGAUAUCAGGAGGAACACCGGCGGCGAAGGCGGCCUGCUGGACCGAGACUGACGUUGAGGCUCGAAAGCGUGGGGAGCAAACAGG
RNAcentral lists this ribosomal RNA (253 nucleotides) under uncultured bacterium. RNAcentral's name for it is "partial 16S ribosomal RNA". It matches the Rfam family "Bacterial small subunit ribosomal RNA", at positions 524 to 776 of the family's 1533-position model. The record is from RNAcentral.